UGACCGCUGGCGGCAGGCCUACCACAUGCAAGUCGAGCGGAUGAAGGGAGCUUGCUCCUGGCUUCAGCGGCGGACGGGUGAGUAAUGCCUAGGAAUCUGCCUGGUAGUGGGGGAUAACGUCCGGAAACGGGCGCUAAUACCGCAUACGUCCUGAGGGAGAAAGUGGGGGAUCUUCGGACCUCACGCUAUCAGAUGAGCCUAGGUCGGAUUAGCUAGUUGGUGGGGUAAAGGCCUACCAAGGCGACGAUCCGUAACUGGUCUGAGAGGAUGAUCAGUCACACUGGAACUGAGACACGGUCCAGACUCCUACGGGAGGCAGCAGUGGGGAAUAUUGGACAAUGGGCGAAAGCCUGAUCCAGCCAUGCCGCGUGUGUGAAGAAGGUCUUCGGAUUGUAAAGCACUUUAAGUUGGGAGGAAGGGCAGUAAGUUAAUACCUUGCUGUUUUGACGUUACCAACAGAAUAAGCACCGGCUAACUUCGUG
RNAcentral lists this ribosomal RNA (482 nucleotides) under uncultured bacterium. RNAcentral's name for it is "partial 16S ribosomal RNA". It matches the Rfam family "Bacterial small subunit ribosomal RNA", at positions 30 to 507 of the family's 1533-position model. The record is from RNAcentral.